Molecule: ribosomal RNA, 517 nt
Filed under: Daphnia sinensis
Lineage: Eukaryota; Metazoa; Arthropoda; Branchiopoda; Diplostraca; Daphniidae
Description: partial large subunit ribosomal RNA
Rfam family: Bacterial large subunit ribosomal RNA
Source: RNAcentral
CAAAAACAUCUCUUUUUGACACAUAAAAAGUACCGUCUGCUCAAUGCAAUUUGUAAAUAGCCGCAGUAUUCUGACUGUGCUAAGGUAGCAUAAUCAUUAGUCUUUUAAUUGAAGGCUGGUAUGAAUGACGAGACGAGAAAAUAGCUGUCUCUAAAAUAAAUCUUGAAUUUUAUUUCUAAGUGAAAAAGCUUAGAUAGUUUUAAAGGACGAUCAGACCCUUUGGAGCUUUAUUUAUUUUAAAUUUUAAUUUAUUUUAGAUUAUUGAAUGAAUAAUAAAUUUUGUUGGGGCGACAGAGAGUAAUAAAUAUCACUCUUUUUUUUAAACAAUUAUAAUUGAAAAAUUGAUCCUUAAAGUAAGAUUAAAAGACUAAGUUACCCUAGGGAUAACAGCGUAAUCUUCUUGGAGAGUUCAAAUCGAUAAGAAGGUUUGCGACCUCGAUGUUGGAUUAAGAGAUUGGCAAGGUGCAGAAGUUUUGUUGGAAAGUCUGUUCGACUUUUAAUUUCUUACAUGAUCUGA